CGGAGGAUCCGAGCGUUAUCCGGAUUUAUUGGGUUUAAAGGGAGCGUAGGUGGACAUGUAAGUCAGUUGUGAAAGUUUGCGGCUCAACCGUAAAAUUGCAGUUGAUACUGCGUGUCUUGAGUACAGUAGAGGUGGGCGGAAUUCGUGGUGUAGCGGUGAAAUGCUUAGAUAUCACGAAGAACUCCGAUUGCGAAGGCAGCUCACUGGACUGCAACUGACACUGAUGCUCGAAAGUGUGGGUAUCAAACAGGAUU
This 254-nucleotide ribosomal RNA is filed under the name uncultured bacterium. Its description in RNAcentral is "partial 16S ribosomal RNA". It matches the Rfam family "Bacterial small subunit ribosomal RNA", at positions 526 to 779 of the family's 1533-position model. The record is from RNAcentral.